Myotis myotis is the source of this 5258-nucleotide long non-coding RNA. RefSeq lists it as uncharacterized. Lineage: Eukaryota; Metazoa; Chordata; Mammalia; Chiroptera; Vespertilionidae. The record is from RefSeq and is a predicted model, not a curated record. The transcript is spliced from 2 exons.
GCCGUCCGGGGGCCGUGGGCGAGGUGCGCUCGCCCCGCCGAAGAGCACACGUCGCCUCGCGCAUGCUCCUGCCGACGCCGGUGACGACGCGCGCGAGGGGCGCGGGGCGGGGACGCGCGCCGCCCGGAUUCUAGGUCUGGGCUGGGACCGGCCCUGGAACCGCUUCCUCUGCGGGUCGCACAGCCCCUCCGGCUGGCUCCUCCCCCGCCUUUGCCCUCGACGUCCCUCCCAGCUGAAGAGCCCCGCGCAUCGCGUUAGGGGAUGGUGAGCAGGCGCCUCCGUGGCCGCCAGCCCCUCCGACAUGCUACCGGGGUGGCCACCAGCGCCGCGGACAUGCUACCGGGGUGGCCACCAGCCCCACGGACAUGCUACCGGGGUGGCCACCAGCCCCACGGACAUGCUACCGGGGUGGCCACCAGCCCCACGGACAUGCUACCGGGGUGGCCACCAGCCCCACCGACAUGCUACCGGGGUGGCCACCAGCCCCGCCGACAUGCUACCGGGGUGGCCACUUGCCCCACCGACAUGCUACCGGGGUGGCCACCAGCCCCACGGACAUGCCACCGGGGUGGCCACCAGCCCCGCCGACAUGCUACCGGGGUGGCCACCAGCCCCACGGACAUGCCACCGGGGUGGCCACCAGCCUCACCGACAUGCUACCGGGGUGGCCACUUGCCUUGUUCCAGUCAAAGCCCGGCUCACCCGUUCGCCCCACAGUCCAGUGUUUCAGUGUAGAAUAGACUCUAGUCUUACAGUUUGCCUUCCUUCUUCCGCUGGUUUUAUUACACUAACUAAAGGGACCCUGAUGGCGUGUCACCCUCGUGGUGCAUUUCCCCCCAGUUAGUCGUACACUCGGGUUGCACGCAUGAGCAAUCUAAAAGGAAUUUUCAAAUUCAGCCUUUCCACAUGACCUCAUGUGGAGACGCAUCGGCAAGGUCACCCACCCCCACCGUGUGAAAUCACUGCCUCUCGACAGUCGCCUGGGAAACGAUGAGGCCCUUUUGGCGGCCAAUCGGGGCAGACUCAGAAAUACUCCCCUGGAGAAAGCACCUUUUUAAAAUUAGCUGAUCACGACAUCAUUCUGAUGCCACAUCUCCAGCCAACCCAUUAGCAAAUAGUUGAGAACCUGCCGUGUCCAGUGCUGGGCAAAGCUCUGUGGCACGUGCAAUAGAAACACUUUUUCUGGAGAGGAACCUCAAUCAAACGGGAGGAGCAAAGCUGAUGCAUAAAACCAUUGGGGAGCAGUGAAGAGCAGACGUGUGCUGGCUUUCUAUUCUGUUGUAGGAUAUAGUUCUAGUCGGCUUUCAGUUACUUCUCACACUCAGAUGCCUCCCCCGUCCCCCUUUUAAUGAAAGAAGCCUUUCGGAGUAGCCUUCCUAUGUUUUCUUGUUUUACCAGUCCUUGUAGAUAUGAACUACUAAAACCAGGUUUUUCUCUUUCUUAAGAGGUUUUUCUAGCCUCAGUUUAACUUCGAGAUCGUUUUCAUGAAAGAAGCCAGGCCAUGUAAGAGUUUCCCUAGAAUACAUCUUUUUCUAGCAACAAAAAUCUUUUCUAUAUAUUUUUUUCCUAGCUUAUCUCGCAAAUUCUUUUUUUCUCCCUGCAUUUUCCUAGUCACCUACUGGGCACCUCUGAGUGGGCGCCCUUAUUCGUGUCGCGAUACCGGCCAGACUCGGGCCAGGGGGCGGGAGCGGGGAUCUCGAGCCAUAUGGUGCGUUAAGGUUAGCCACCGGCCAAGCCGCGGGUCGGGGCGGUGCCCACCCUCCCGACCCAUCGGGGCCGCCGCGGGACGGGAACGGGGGUCCCGAGGAAGGCGAGGCGGGCGGGGGCGGCCCUUCCCUCGCUCCCGCUCCCCCGACCGCGCGGUCCACGCUUCCCGGGCGCUCGGACACGCGUGGGCGGGCCAGGACCUGCGACAUGGACCGGGCAGCUCGGGCGCUGGCUCGGAUCGGCCAGGAACCCGCCCGGUCACCCCGAUCCGCCCCCGGACACGCCCCCCUUGAGGUCACUGCUUCGGCGCUCCGAGUGCGGAAGGAAGCGCCGGGGCGGAGGCGGAGAACCCACGUGGCUCCGGGUGGGGGUCGGUUUUCGUCAGGGUGGCUUGGCCUCUAAAAGACUGAAGCAAAUAUACUUUAAAAAAAAAAAAAAAAAAAGCUCUUUUCCCCUGACCCUAUGUUUUGAACAUAAUCCUAAUCCAUAAUCAUUUCCCCCCACGACUUUAGAGCAGACACAGUAUGCCUUUUAAAUGUUAAAACGGUAACAGUAACAUUGUUGAGACUUGUCAAUGUGCUUUUGGGUCAAAAACCUAAGGUCGAACUUUCCUGAAGAUUUUUCUUAAAGCUGCUCAUACUAUUUAGAGUAGCAGACUGUUAAAAUACACUGUAGAGACCAUAUGCAAGACCCUAAUUUUUUUUUAAAAAAAGGAUUUUAGUUAUUAAUUUGCUUAGUAAACGGGUAAACACUACUAGUUCUUUGAUAUCUGUAAUUUUGAUUCACCAAACAUUUUCAGUAUUGGCUAAUUACUCUAUUGGACCUAAUUUAAAGCAGCUUUAAGUAAUUACAUUUUGCUGUGGUUUGCCACGUUUUCAUCUUGCCUGUGCCAAUUAAAAAUUAUGUUUUAAGCCCAGCCCGCAUAACUCAGUGGUCGACCUAUGAACCAGGGUGUCAGGGUUUGAUUCCUGGUCAGGGCACAUGCCUGGGUUUCGGGAUCCUUCCCCUAGUGUGGGCCGUGUGGGAGACAACCGAUCAAUGAUUCUCUUUAAUUGAUGUUUCUAUCUCUCCUUCUCCCUUCCUCUCUAAAAUCAAUAAAAAAAUAUUUUUAAAGGAUAUUUUAGAAUAUGAUUAAGCCAAGGAAUAUUUGGCUUGAGAAUCCAAGUAAAAUGGUACUUCACUGAGUGUGCCGAGCACUAUUCUAACAUUUGCAGUAUUUAAUGUAACCCCACUACCCUCAUUUUGCAGAUGGAGGGACAUGUAAGGCAAAUGAUAGCUUAUGCAUCAUAAGCAAAUGCAGACAUAUUAUUUUUCAAAGUUUUCCCUUUUUUUGCACAAAAUGGUAAAAUACAAUAUAUGACCUUGCUUUUUUGACUUAAUACUUCUUGGAGAUCUUUAUUGUGAGUACAUUAGGACCCAGUAUAGCAGCUUUGGAACCCAGGAAUCUGACCAGAGAGCUAGUCCUAACUUUUUCUAGCAGGUCUAAGUAAUAGCAUUGAAAUCAGGAAAUCAGGCAUUCGGUUCUAAUGCUUACAGAGCUGUGAUAGCCAGUAGUUCUUGGUUUCUCAGUGCAUCUGUAACAGGGCUGCUUGUGAUUCAACCUCAGUACCUACCUCACAAUUCUAAUGUCAUGCAUGACAUGAAAUCAUAUGGGGGCACUCAGUUAUCUAGUUAAAAUUGUGUUUCUAAAGCUUUUUCGACAACAUCUGCUCUCAAUUGGUUUGCCUUGUGACAUUGAGAGUGGAGAAAAUAAACUCAUUCGUAUCUUUCUAUUUCUAAAAAUUUUGAAAUAAGUUAUAUAUGUACAUAGUAAAAAAUUGUAGAGGGGGUUAUAUAGUGAAGUGUUAAUUUCCUUUUAGGGGUUUAGAGAAGUCUAAAGAAUAUGCCAGGAAACUAAAGUUAUUUCUAUUACUCUUCUCAUGAUUCCAAAGCCAGUGCCUAUCAGGAUAGAUGCCCUUUCAUUUGGUAUGAAGGAAAGGAUUUAAAAAAAAAAAAAAAAAAAAGGAGAAGAAAGGAUAGCCUUCCCUCACUAUUUUUGACGAAUACACAUUUUAUAGACAGCAUUCAGUUCAGUAUUUCUGUCUUCAUAAGUGACAUAGUUGAAAGAACACUGGACUAAAGAGCUAGAGUCUGUUCCCAGCAAUCUUAUUUAUUAGCUAUGUGAUCUGGAAUAAAUCACCCUUGAACUUGGUAUUCUACUGUAAAAAAAAAACUAAUAGUACCUAUUUCACAGAACUGACCAUUAGGAUGAAAUGAGAAAAUGUACCUGAACAUGCAGACCAGUUUUACAAAUGUUAGUGCUUAUUAUAAUUAGAAAACAAUCAUUAGCUCUUUUUUAAAAAGCUGAAAAAAGAAAACUCUGCUCAAACUAUAGAGAAAUUUAUUCUAUCAAUUAUCAUUAUUCAUUCUAGUAAUGAGUACUCUUUGGUCCAUUUCACUUAAGUAUAAAACUAUAGAUUCACAAAUACAUGUGACAGUGUGUGUGUGUACUGUAAGUGGCAGGGACUUUCAUAUUAUGGUAUUCAGUUGGUAAUUGUACAGGACUUCAGAAGUCAGUCUUUAUUCAUCCAUCAACAUUCACUGAGCAGCUACUGUGUGCCGGGUACUUAGCUAGACAUCGAGGAGACAAAAAACAAUCACUGUUGGAUGGUGUGUGCGGCAGAGCCCUGGAGAGGUGGGAGGGGGAACACUAGCAGCAAACAGAUGAUUCCAGGGGUGUGUGAGUGCUGGAACCAGGUAAGCCCAGGGUGCUUCUGAGCACUCAGGAGGGACCCAGGCUGGGGCGGGGGGUGGAACUAAGACAUUAGAAGAAAAACCUGCUCAGAAUAGAGAGGGUUUCACCUUGUUUGGGUGGAAACUGGGAGUAGAAACCUUGGAGAAUGAGUGUUUUGGGUGAUUGCCCUUGAAAAAAAGGUGGGAGAGGGAUCUUGCUCCUUCUUGGACAGGUACAGAGAGCAAGACAUAUCUGUCUAGGGUGUUCACUGUGAUUCCCACUCCCUCCACCCUCCCAGGGGCCUGUGAAAACUAUUGGGGCUUCAGAGAUAGGCAGACCUGGAUCCACGUCUUGAAUCCAUCACUUACUGGCUGAAUGGCUCUGGGCAAGUUAUUUGGCCUCUUUAAGCUUCAGCCUCCUCAUCCAUAAAAAGAAGAUGACAAUUCCUAUCCCAUAAGACUACUAUGAAAAUUAGAUAAGAAAAGUGCUGAGCAUAUGUUUUUGCACCAAGUUAGAACAAUAAUUGGCAGGGAGUUUUUCUUUUUUUCUUUUUUGUUUGUUUUUAUCUGUUAUGUAUAUAGUAUAUUAGUAGUGCUUUCAGAGUGAGGCAGUCAGAAAGCCUUCACUCAAAUCCCCGUUGGCUCUACCACAGCUAGCGAUGGGAUUUUUGGCAAGUGAUUUAACCUCUCUAAGCCUCGGUUCUCAUAUCUAUAAAGUGCAAUAAUAAUAAAUAAUACCUACUCCCUAGGGUUGUGGUGAGGAUAAAACAAUCAAUGUAAAGUACUUAACACAGUGCCCAGCAUCUGAAUAUCCUUCAAUAAAUCUUAAUUGUUUGCUA